AGCGAACGCUGGCGGCAGGCUUAACACAUGCAAGUCGAGCGGGCAUCCCUGUGGUGUCAGCGGCAGACGGGUGAGUAACGCGUGGGAACGUGCCCUUCGGUUCGGAAUAACUCAGGGAAACUUGUGCUAAUACCGGAUACGUUCGAGAGCAGAAAGGUUUGUCUGCCGAAGGAGCGGCCCGCGUCUGAUUAGCUAGUUGGUGAGGUUAUGGCCCACCAAGGCGACGAUCAGUAGCUGGUCUGGGAGGAUGAUCAGCCACACUGGGACUGAGACACGGCCCAGACUCCUACGGGAGGCAGCAGUGGGGAAUAUUGGACAAUGGGGGCAACCCUGAUCCAGCCAUGCCGGGUGAGUGAUGACGGCCUUAGGGUUGUAAAGCUCUUUUCUCCGGGACGAUAAGGACGGAACCGGAGAAAUAAGCCCGGGCUACCUCCGU
This 436-nucleotide ribosomal RNA is filed under the name uncultured bacterium. RNAcentral describes it as "partial 16S ribosomal RNA". It matches the Rfam family "Bacterial small subunit ribosomal RNA", at positions 29 to 506 of the family's 1533-position model. The record is from RNAcentral.